RNAcentral lists this ribosomal RNA (513 nucleotides) under Zerynthia cassandra (Italian festoon). RNAcentral's name for it is "Zerynthia polyxena cassandra partial 16S ribosomal RNA". The stretch from base 385 to 513 matches the Rfam family "Bacterial large subunit ribosomal RNA", at positions 2473 to 2600 of the family's 2925-position model. Lineage: Eukaryota; Metazoa; Arthropoda; Insecta; Lepidoptera; Papilionidae. The record is from RNAcentral.
UUUUUGUUAAUAAUUUAAAGUCUAAUCUGCCCACUGAUUUUUAAUUAAAGGGCUGCAGUAUUUUGACUGUACAAAGGUAGCAUAAUCAAUAGUCUCUUAAUUGGUGACUUGAAUGAAAGAUUUGAUGAAAUAUAAACUGUCUCUAUUAAAUUUAUAAAAUUUAAUUUUUUAGUUAAAAAGCUAAAAUUUUUUUAAAAGACGAGAAGACCCUAUAGAGUUUUAUAAUUUAUUUAUUUAUAAUUUUGUUUAAAUAUUAAAGUUAUAAGUAAAUAAAUUAUUUUAUUGGGGUGAUAGAAAAAUUUAAUAAACUUUUUUUUAAAUUUUUACAUUAAUUUAUGAAUAUAUGAUCCGUAAUUUACGAUUAAAAGAUUAAAUUACCUUAGGGAUAACAGCGUAAUUUUUUUUUUUAGUUCAAAUAAGAAAAAGAGUUUGCGACCUCGAUGUUGGAUUAAGAUAAAAUUUAAAAUGCAAAAGUUUAAAAUUUUUGAUCUGUUCGAUCAUUAAAAUCUUACA